UAGGGAAUCUUCGGCAAUGGACGGAAGUCUGACCGAGCAACGCCGCGUGAGUGAAGAAGGUUUUCGGAUCGUAAAGCUCUGUUGUUAGAGAAGAACGUUGGUAGGAGCGGAAAAUCUACCAAGUGACGGUAACUAACCAGAAACGGACGGCUAACUACGUGCCAGCAGCCGCGGUAAUACGUAGGUCCCGAGCGUUGUCUGGAUUUAUUGGGCGUAAAGCGAGCGCAGGCGGUUCUUUAAGUCUGAAGUUAAAGGCAGUGGCUUAACCAUUGUACGCUUUUGACACUGGAGGACUUGAGUGCAGAAGGGGGGAGUGGAAUUCCAUGUGUAGCGGUGAAAUGCGUAGAUCUAUGGAGGAACACCGGUGGCGAAAGCGGCUCUCUGGUCUGUAACUGACGCUGAGGCUCGAAAGCGUGGGGAGCAAACAGG
This 429-nucleotide ribosomal RNA is filed under the name Bacillota bacterium. RNAcentral describes it as "Firmicutes bacterium partial 16S ribosomal RNA". It matches the Rfam family "Bacterial small subunit ribosomal RNA", at positions 355 to 776 of the family's 1533-position model. The record is from RNAcentral. Lineage: Bacteria; Bacillati; Bacillota.